UUGAUUGGUCGAAAGACCUUAUCAGAUUCUACCACCUCUGUGAACCGUUGACCUCCGGGUUAAUAACCAAACAUCAGUGUAACGAACGUAAGAGUAUCUUAAUUAAACA
RNAcentral lists this unclassified non-coding RNA (109 nucleotides) under soil metagenome. RNAcentral's name for it is "partial internal transcribed spacer 1". The record is from RNAcentral.